RNAcentral lists this small nuclear RNA (122 nucleotides) under Alligator sinensis (Chinese alligator). RNAcentral describes it as "U2 spliceosomal RNA". It matches the Rfam family "U2 spliceosomal RNA". From Rfam's summary of the family: U2 is a small nuclear RNA (snRNA) component of the spliceosome (involved in pre-mRNA splicing). Complementary binding between U2 snRNA (in an area lying towards the 5' end but 3' to hairpin I) and the branchpoint sequence (BPS) of the intron results the bulging out of an unpaired adenosine, on the BPS, which initiates a nucleophilic attack at the intronic 5' splice site, thus starting the first of two transesterification reactions that mediate splicing. The record is from Rfam by way of RNAcentral. Lineage: Eukaryota; Metazoa; Chordata; Crocodylia; Alligatoridae.
UCAACAUCUCAGCCUUUUGGCUAAGAUCAAGCAUUUUUGGCACCAAGGGAGGAUGUUAGAACUGGUUCUGGCCCUUCCAAUGCUGGCCUGGUAUUGCAGUACUCCAGGCCUGGUGCCAGUUC